This 122-nucleotide ribosomal RNA is filed under the name Yarrowia lipolytica. The record is from RNAcentral. Lineage: Eukaryota; Fungi; Ascomycota; Dipodascomycetes; Dipodascales.
GUUACGGCCAAUAUCCUGGUGAAAAUACGGCUUCCCGUUUCCGAUCAAGCCAUAGUCAAGCACCAGAGAGCCCAGUUAGUAUUGUAGUGGGAGACCAUACGAGAAUCCUGGGUGCUGUAAUC